UUGGAACUCUGCCAUGCAGGCCGUGUCUUUCUUACGGUGGAGUCAUGAACACUGACCUUAACUGAGCAAAAUACAUCAACAGAAUCACAAAAUUGGGCGCCGGGCUCUCACCCACACCCUCAUUAGCCUUAAAAGGCAGCAGCUGUUUCCUGACACCCCAAGGACGAAAAGGUUGACUUGGUGCUCCAUGCAUGCCUCAUAGCAGUGAUGCACAUCUAGUAUGCGCAUUUACCGAGAAUGCGGCCACACGGCAUGGAUCGCAGAGCGCUUUUUCUGCAUGUAGAGAGAAGCGGCUUGGAAUAAAA
Doryrhamphus excisus (bluestripe pipefish) is the source of this 305-nucleotide non-coding RNA. The record is from RefSeq and is a predicted model, not a curated record. Lineage: Eukaryota; Metazoa; Chordata; Actinopteri; Syngnathiformes; Syngnathidae.